CCUACGGGCGGCAGCAGUGAGGAAUAUUGGUCAAUGGACGAGAGUCUGAACCAGCCAAGUAGCGUGAAGGAUGAAUGCCCUAUGGGUUGUAAACUUCUUUUAUAUGGGAAUAAAAUGUUCCACGUGUGGGAUUUUGUAUGUACCAUAUGAAUAAGGAUCGGCUAAAUCCGGGCCAGCAGCCGCGGUAAUACGGAGGAUCCGAGCGUUAUCCGGAUUUAUUGGGUUGAAAGGAAGCGUAGGUGGAUUGUUAAGUCAGUUGUGAAAGUUUGCGGCUCAACCGUAAAAUUGCAGUUGAAACUGGCAGUCUUGAGUACAGUAGAGGUGGGCGGAAUUCGUGGUGUAGCGGUGAAAUGCUUAGAUAUCACGAAGAACUCCGAUUGCGAAGGCAGUUCACUGGACUGCAACUGACACUGAGGCUCGAAAGUGUGGGUAUCAAACAGGAUUAGAUACCCCUGUAGUC
Molecule: ribosomal RNA, 460 nt
Filed under: uncultured bacterium
Lineage: Bacteria
Description: partial 16S ribosomal RNA
Rfam family: Bacterial small subunit ribosomal RNA
Source: RNAcentral